CCUACGGGUGGCAGCAGUGGGGAAUAUUGCACAAUGGGCGCAAGCCUGAUGCAGCCAUGCCGCGUGUGUGAAGAAGGCUUUCGGGUUGUAAAGCACUUUCAGUUGUGAGGAAAAGUUAGUCGUUAAUACCGGCUAGCCUUGACGUUAGCAACAGAAGAAGCACCGGCUAACUCAGUGCCAGCAGCCGCGGUAAUACUGAGGGUGCAAGCGUUAAUCGGAAUUACUGGGCGUAAAGCGCGCGUAGGCGGCUUGUUAAGCCAGAUGUGAAAGCCCCGGGCUCAACCUGGGAACUGCAUUUGGAACUGGCUAGCUAGAGUACAGUAGAGGGUGGUGGAAUUUCCAGUGUAGCGGUGAAAUGCGUAGAGAUUGGAAGGAACAUCAGUGGCGAAGGCGGCCACCUGGACUGAUACUGACGCUGAGGUGCGAAAGCGUGGGGAGCA
Molecule: ribosomal RNA, 440 nt
Filed under: uncultured bacterium
Lineage: Bacteria
Description: bacterial SSU rRNA
Rfam family: Bacterial small subunit ribosomal RNA
Source: RNAcentral